Molecule: ribosomal RNA, 249 nt
Filed under: Triticum aestivum (bread wheat)
Lineage: Eukaryota; Viridiplantae; Streptophyta; Magnoliopsida; Poales; Poaceae
Description: partial small subunit ribosomal RNA
Source: RNAcentral
AUGGCAAGCACGGUGGAGUCGCCGACGAGCUCGUGCGUGUCGUCGGACACGGAGGAGGAGGCCGCGGCGGUGACGAAGCCGAUGGUGGUGGUGGGGUGCCCGCAGUGCCUCAUGUACGUGAUGCUGUCGGGGGCGGCCGAGGAGCAGCCCAGGUGCCCCCGGUGCAAGAGCCCCGUGCUGCUGCACUUCCUCCACGGCGCCGCCGCCGACGUCGCCAGCACCAACAGGCAGCAGCCCAGCAAGAGCUAG